GAUGAACGCUAGCUACAGGCUUAACACAUGCAAGUCGAGCGAGCUUGCCUAGAUGAUUUUAGUGCUUGCACUAAAAUGAAACUAGAUACAAGCGAGCGGCGGACGGGUGAGUAACACGUGGGUAACCUGCCCAAGAGACUGGGAUAACACCUGGAAACAGAUGCUAAUACCGGAUAACAACACUAGACGCAUGUCUAGAGUUUGAAAGAUGGUUCUGCUAUCACUCUUGGAUGGACCUGCGGUGCAUUAGCUAGUUGGUAAGGUAACGGCUUACCAAGGCAAUGAUGCAUAGCCGAGUUGAGAGACUGAUCGGCCACAUUGGGACUGAGACACGGCCCAA
Molecule: ribosomal RNA, 340 nt
Filed under: uncultured bacterium
Lineage: Bacteria
Description: bacterial SSU rRNA
Rfam family: Bacterial small subunit ribosomal RNA
Source: RNAcentral